RNAcentral lists this small RNA (299 nucleotides) under Arabidopsis thaliana (thale cress). RNAcentral's name for it is "ATSL040930". The record is from RNAcentral. Lineage: Eukaryota; Viridiplantae; Streptophyta; Magnoliopsida; Brassicales; Brassicaceae.
UUAGAAGUGUCAAACCUUAUUUGACACAUCUCAUCAUAUAUUCUUAACAUGUCGUCUCUUAUACAGAUCAUAACUCUUUCUAUGAUAUAAUACAUAUUAUUUAACACACAGUUUGCUAUAAAUAUUUUUAAAAUAUAUGUUUGAAUUUGCAAAACUACAAUUUUUCUAUUACUUUUUUGCAACAAUACCCUUCUCUGUUGUCCAUUUUUAAAAAUAUCAUUUCUCUUGAACAAAAUGAUCAAAUUACCCUGAUCGUAUGAGAACAGGUAAUUAGAAAAUGAAAUUUUCCCGCCUAAAAU